GAUGAACGCUGGCGGCGUGCCUAAUACAUGCAAGUCGAGCGAACGGACGAGAAGCUUGCUUCUCUGAUGUUAGCGGCGGACGGGUGAGUAACACGUGGAUAACCUACCUAUAAGACUGGGAUAACUUCGGGAAACCGUAGCUAAUACCGGAUAAUAUUUUGAACCGCAUGGUUCAAAAGUGAAAGACGGUCUUGCUGUCACUUAUAGAUGGAUCCGCGCUGCAUUAGCUAGUUGGUAAGGUAACGGCUUACCAAGGCAACGAUGCAUAGCCGACCUGAGAGGGUGAUCGGCCACACUGGAACUGAGACACGGUCCAGACUCCUACGGGAGGCAGCGGUAGGGAAUCUUCCGCAAUGGGCGAAAGCAUGACGGAGCAACGCCGCGUGAGUGAUGAAGGUCUUCGGAUCGUAAAACUCUGUUAUUAGGGAAGAACAUAUGUGUAAGUAACUGUGCACAUCUUGACGGUACCUAAUCAGAAAGCCACGGCUAACUACGUG
Molecule: ribosomal RNA, 497 nt
Filed under: uncultured bacterium
Lineage: Bacteria
Description: partial 16S ribosomal RNA
Rfam family: Bacterial small subunit ribosomal RNA
Source: RNAcentral